UUCACACCACUGUACAUGUGAUAGAUCAGUUAAUGGUGGGGAUGCCAGUUGUAAAAAUUCAUUUUAGAUACAAUUGGGCAAACUUUUCUCAAGUUGUGGGCUUUUAUACGUACAUAUGCAUAUCUGCAUAUAUAAAAAAGAAAAGAUACUUCUGACCAUUAUAUUUACAUAUUGUGUUUAAACAUAUUGCAGUUCCAUUUAACGAAAAUGCUUAUAUAAAUAUAAGAUUUGUGAUGUUUUCAGUUUGGUUGUUUUAUCAAAAUCAAAGAAUUGAGAUUUUUUUCUAUAAUUGUUUUGUUAAAUUUUAAAAAUCUAAAUUGCCUCUGGAAAUGUAUUAAAAUAAUAAUAUGCGCUAUAGAAAGGGAACACAUAUUUUCAAAAUUAUAAGAAAUCAUCAAAUAAAAAUAUACAAUAUUUGCGCGGUAUGGCAUUAUUGAUUGAGAGUGGCUAAGCACACAAAUAGAAUACAAACGCUAAUGGCAGAAACAUCUUCUCACUUCGCCACGAGCGGCAAGCGUUUUGUUCUCGUUUUCAUUCGAACAAUGUUGCCAUUACUCAAUACGCAUAUGUAGUUUUGUACACAUCUAAGUUUUCAAUUAUAAUUUUUCAUAAUAAAAAAUAUCAAAACUGAAAUCAAACUAUUAAAACUAGUUUAUAUAUUUGUAAAUAAUAGCAUUCGAUUCUGAAUUUGAGUUAUUUUAAGAAAAUUUCACAUACAUUGAAGAAAAUUUUUGUAAUUACUACAGUAUAUCGAGCCUGGCAACCCUGCGGUGUGAGAGAGCAAUCAGCUGAGUCGUUGGAAAUUCUAGGAUUGGCGGGUGGUAGAAGGGUUGUUGGGUAAUUAUUUACAUUGCGCUCUCAUAAGAUUCAUUUGAAGAAACAGUGGUUCAUAAACUGAAGUUAUUAUUGAAAUUAUUUUUUAUAAGGAAGUUUAAAGAAAUAACCUGGUAUGAAACUUUUUGCUUCGAAAAUUAUAUAUAAAAUAAGAAGUAGGUUAUCUGAUUUAAAUUUUGGUACUUGGUACAAUAAUGCGUGGGGCUAUAGCAAAUGACAUUAAACCAAACAUAUAAUUUAUUAUUUCAAAUAAACAAAAUUAAAUGCUGAUAUAAAGACAUAUUAAAAAAAUGAUUACUAAAAUCAAAUAUUUAUUAUACUUUUUGUUAUUUGUCUUACAUUUUAUAAAUUUAUAGUAGUUAAAAAGAAACUUAAAAUUGUUAGGCAAUUUUACUGUUAUUACCCACAGUGCAACUUCCCAUAUAUGCGUGCGCUCUCAUUUGUAAACAUGGUGUGGUAAAAUACGUUGCUCUUACUUCCCUCUUCAUGUUUGCCCUCGAUGAUCCCCUCACCUAGCCCUCAAAAUGUGCACUCGUGCCCGCAGGGGCAAAAUGCCACUGAGGGCUAAUAUGCCCAUCCCUGUCCUAAAUGAUUUGGUUGGAAAAAUCUGUCUAGUGUAUUUAGAUGACAUUAUUAUAUUUUCGACGUCCCUCCAGGAACAUAUUGAGAAUCUAGAAAAAGUCUUUCUUAAGAUGUUCAAAUUUUAAAGUCCAGAUGGACAAAUCAGAGUUUAUGCGAAAAGAAAUUGCUUUUUUAAGACACAUAGUCACGACGGAAGGCAUAAAACCGGAUCCGACAAAAAUAGAAGUCAUCCAGAAAUUUCCGAUACCACGAACUAAUCGUGAAAUAAAAUCGUUCAUAGGCCUACUUAGUUAUUAUAGGAAGUUUAUCCCGAACCUGGCAAGACUUGAAAAACCAAUGACAGAAUGCUUAAAAAAGGGCAGAAGCAUAACACUAAACGCCAGAUACCUAGAAGCUUUCGAAACAUGCAAGAACAUUUUAAUGAACGAUCCAAUACUGCAAUACCCUGAUUUCACAAAGCCAUUUUUACUCACAACAGACGCAAGUAACAUUGCGCUUGGAGCAGUCCUUUCUCAAGGUCACAUAGGUAGUGACAAACCUAUUUGCUACGCAAGUAGGACUCUUUCUGAGAGUGAGAUUAACUAUUCCACUAUUGAGAAAGAGCUUUUAGCCAUAGUGUGGGCAACCAAAUAUUUCCGCCCAUAUCUCUUCGGUCGUAAAUUUAAAAUAAUUACUGACCACAGACCACUUACAUGGCUAAUGAGUCUCAAGGAGACCAAUUCGAAAUUGAUGAGAUGGCGCCUGAAGUUGGAAGAGUAUGACUACGAGAUCGUAUACAAAAAAGGAACAUUAACACAGAUGCAUUGAGCAGGAUAAAAUUAGACCAUGAUAAAACCGCUGAUAUAAAUUUGUGUGAUUCGGAAGAACUGUCUAGAAUACAUUCAUGUAAAAAAAAUGUGAAUGAUGGCAUACCAAUUUCAGAAAAACCUUUAAAUGAAUUCAACUUGCAACUUUUAUUAGAAAGAUCUGACAAAAAACUCGAUAUGACUGUUGAAACCAUCUUUAGAAACAAACAACGUAGAACUCUAAGAGAAAAAGAAUUUUCUCAAGACACAAUAAUUCAGAUUUUCAAAAAUUUAUACCCUCAGGUAAACUAACUGCUAUUUUCUCCAAUGAACCAACCUUCAGAACUAUUCAACUGAUAUACUCAAAAUACUUUUCAAAUGGAAAACAAUUUCGUAUUGUCCGAUGCACUAAAAUCCUAUCAGAUGUAACUGACAAUGAUAAGCAAGUUGAACUAAUUCGUACCUGUCAUGAAAAUAGGAACCAUAGAGAAAUUACCAAAAUUUAUGAAUACUUAAAGAGAUAAUAUUAUUUUCCCCUUAUGCAAUCUAUAAUAAAUAAAACUUUAAAUAAUUGUAAAAUUUGCAAUACACUCAAAUACGACAGACACCCACCAAAAUUAGAAUUCCAAGUUACAGAAACACCAAACGAACCUCUUCAAAUUUUGCACAUUGACAUAUGUAUGUAUAUACUAUAAAUAGUAAAUGUAUUUCGACCAUCAUCGAUAAAUUUUCUAAAUAUGCGACAGGCUAUACAUUACCAUCAAGAACAAGCGUUUGUGUGCUCAAAGCAUUAAAAACAUUUAUGAACCUUGCGGGAAUACCUAAGAAAAUUAUUUGUGAUCAGGGUACCGAAUUUACAUCUAACAUUUUUAAAGAUUUUUGUAGACAAUAUGAAAUUAUACUUCACUCCACAUCAUUUCAACAAUCCAGUAGCAACUCUCCAGUAGAACGACCUCGUUCAACCCUAACUAAAAUAUACAGAAUUAUAAUGACAACCAGAAAAUCCAAGAAAAUGGAAUUAGAUCACGAAGAGAUAUUAAAUGAGACGUUUAUAACUUACAAUAAUACAAUCCAUUCAUCUACAAAAUUUACACCAUAUGAGUUAUUCUUUGGAAGACCGUAUAACUUCUCAAGAGACAUAAAAUACGACAACGAACACGAAUUUUUAGUUAAGUUAAAUGAAUUUAAAGAAAAACUAUACCCCAUUGUUAAAGAAAAAGUUGUGAAAGCUAAAUUAAAAAAUAUUAGUUGGCUUAAUAAAUCUAGGAAACCUCCAGAGCGUAUGAACAAAGAAGAGGAUAUAUGUGGCAACACCAUGAUCUAUUACUUUUAAAAUGCAACCGUAUGCUAUCCUGAUGUUGCCUUUAAUCGUAUCGUCGCUUUGCACUUACAUUCGUUUUUGAAAAGGCAAGGCAUAAAACACUGCAACUUUGAGUUUAUGCUUUCUUCUGGAAAACCCCGUCAACGAGUAAGGAUCACUACAUUGUAAAAGCCUUUAUAUAUAUAGAAAAGAAUGUAGGAGAAACAAAAUAGCUGAACGAUUCCCAAAACAUAAAGUAUUAAAAGAUAAUGACGUUACUUUACAAACUACUAAAGACAAAAAAAUACACAAAUCAAAAAUUAAACUGAGACUACGAAAAUAAUAAACAAUUAUUUACCUUUAGAAUAGCCUUUGCUUAUGGACAAGUCUUGGAAAUACAAAAUUUUGACGAAGACCAGAAUAUGAUAGCACUGAAGAUUGGACACGCGAGAACGAUCGAAAGUUAUUUCAAUUUCAUUCAAAUAAUAGACUUGGACAAUUAUAAUUCGCAAACUUCAAAAUUAAUUACUAUCGUAGACAAAUUUGAAAAAAAAAUAGCCUUCUAAAAGAUGCUGCUAAAAUUUGUAAGCUGAAACUUAGGGGACUCGAAAACAAACUACAGACAUUAAAUCCAUAUAAACGUACAAAACGAGAACUAUUCAACGGCUUAGGCUCUGUAAUAAUAUAUGUAACUGGGAACAUGGACGCAAAUGACGUUAUGACUAUAAAUAAACAAAUACAAGAACUCCAGGACACAACAUUAAAUUCAAAAAUAAUAGAGGAAAAUCAAAAAAGUUUGAAUAUACAAAUGCUACAGAGAUUUAAAAAUUUGGCAGAGCAUGUGAAUAACAAUCAGGAAAGCAUUACACAAUUUUUUAGAAAAACUGUGAGCAAAAACAACUAAUCAUAUUCUAAAAGAAGACAAUGCGCUAUUAGAAAUCCAAUCUCUGGCAUAAUAGAAGCUAUAAGCAUAAUAGAAGCUAUAAUGCUCGCAAAACUUGGUAUAGUAUCAAAGCUUAUUCUUCAUCCAGAUGAAUUGGAUGAAAUAAGACACCAUUUUAAGUCCCAGAAUAUUGACUUAGUUUCGGACGGAUACCUUUACGAACUUCUGGAACUCCAAGCAUAUUAUAAUAAUAGGAACCUAAUUUUUAAUAUAAAACCCCCAAAUUUGGCUAAAAGUACGAAUUCGCUUUUCCAUCUCUUCCUCUUCCUAUGAAUAAUACGAAAGUAAUUAAAACAAAACCAUACGUAAGGACACAAUCUUCGUAGCACGACCAAAUCUAGAGAAAGUGCAAAUAACAACAAUAACAGAGACUUUAAGCCUAGAGAAGACCAAAGAUUACAGUUUCAUCAAGAAAAAUGAUAUUAUGAGAUUAAGAAAGGAUGCAAUUCAAAGAAGAAACAUAAUAACGAUAACAACAUUGAUACUUAUCACCUUAACUAUCACUAGUGUAACUCUGUUAUGGAAAAACCCCAGAAUUCCGUAUUAUCCUAAGCCCACUGAAGCCGCUCUGUCUCCACCAACUUCGUUGAGGCUAUCGCUCUACUCUAAGGGGGGAGGAGUUAUAUCGUCACAUCAACCCCCACCAAAACCCAGAAGACACCAAUAAAAUAAUAACAACAAAUCAUUAAAUUUAUUUUCUUAUUUAAAACAGUGCAACAAUUGCAAUUGAUACUUACUUCCUGUUUACCAACUUUUGUACAAUUAUUAUUGCUUUAAUUUUUACUGUAUUUUUCUUGACUCAUCAAAUUUCUUUUACUUGUUUGACUUCAUGUAAAAUUGGUUUAGAAAUAAAAAUCAUUAUUGGUGUAACCUUCAAAGAGAUAAGGUGUUUUUAUUUAACGGAAGAACGAUGAGUAACAUUACUACCGCGAUCAAUAAUACCGCACGUAUGUCAUCGCAUCCUGGGAGUACUCGGUUAUGUGCCUUGGGCUGCUAAUGUAUGUUGAUGCCAAAAAGAACUCCGACCGAUAUUAGCGCGACCUCUUCGUGGCAUCGUAACAAAUUUCAAUCUGUAAUUGAUCACUUUGUGUGCAACACACAUAACGUUUUCACUGCUUAAUUUUCAAAAGUUUUUGAAGCAAACGACAAAUUUGAACGAUUCAAGUAAUUGAAAAACAUAACAAAAAAAAUAUUGAAAAAAAUAUUUGUAAGGAAAAAAUUAACUUUUUGGAAUUGUCCAAUUUUCCUACUUUUCCUCACGAAAAGCAUAGAGGUUUUUAUUUCUAAACCUUACCCGAUCCACACAGAGCAUUUUCUGAAAAUUGCAUCAAGAGUGGUUCAGUCGUUCCCUUAGCGUUACUAAUAAACCAACAUUCAUUCGUUUAUAUGGAAAAAAGAAAAGGGCUGUUCUCAGGGGUUUCCGGCAAUUAUUCGAAUUUUUCCUUCCGUAAAAACCAUCUUUGAACAUCAGCGAACAUUUAGAAAAAAGAAUUGGUAAAAUUGGUCCAGGCGUUGUUGAGUUAUGCGCUUACCAAUACAUUUUGCGAUUAAUUUUUAUAUACAUAUGUAUGUACAUAUGUAUGUACUUAUGUAUGUAUAAGAUGUAUGUACAUAUGUAGUUACAUAUUUUGAGUUUUGUUUUUAUGAUUGAAAAUACCAUUGUCUGAAAAUAUAAACAACAACUGCAAUUAUUGGCUCGUUCACUAAAUAAUUUCGUUUGAUGAUGCUGAUUUCAUUAAAUUUUUGCGCAGCCAACUACACACAUCCGCUUUACCGUUAUAUUGUAUAAUUGAACAGCUGAUAGAGUUUGUAAACAAUUAUUCUCUGGUGCCCUCUUGAAGAUGAAAAAUCGAAAAAACAAUUUUUGGCAUACUUUAUUGUCUUACUUUCAAAAAGGGAAAAUUGCAGUUUAAGCAAGGCAUUCGUAAAAAGAUGUAAGCUGUAAUUUCGUUCCAGAAAUUUCGAACUUGAGGAUGCACAACGUCCUGGAAGGUCUCUUGAAACCGAUGUGGAUUAAAUAUAUUCUUGGUCGAUGCAAAUCGUUGAUAAAUACAUACAUAUAUAAAUUCAUGGAGAAUUACUUAGUGAACUACUCAGUAGACUUUAAGCUUAGUAUCCAACUCUAUAGAAAUGUAAAAACCUCAUUUCCAGAAAAUUUCUUGCGGCAAAUUUCCUACGAAUGCGAAUAUGGCAAACCUGGUUUUGUGAAGAAACAUGAAAUCAACAAUUGUUUCUUGAAGGAAAUUCAAAGUAAUCGUUAAAUUCAUCCUAAAUUAGUUAAAAUCAUUAUGAAGUAUAUUUCGUUUUGAAAUUUUGUAUAAAACCUACCAAUCAUCAACAACAUUCAUUAAAUUGCAAUGAAAAUAUUUAUGUUACUAUACACAUACACACAUACUUACAUAUUACGCACAAAGUUUAUUUUCUUUGUUUAUUCUCUCUUGCUCUUCUAAUGUGGAUCAUUCAAAAUGCGUAACCAGCUGUCAAAAUUACUUGAAGAAAUAAUGUAUUUUUUUCUUGAGCAAUUACUUAAGAGCUGGAUACGGACCUGAAAGUUGAAAUUUAAUUCCAAAAUCCAAUGUAAUCUCUACAAGCUUUCAGUAGAGCUCAGUAAAUAUGUUUUUAACUUUCCAAACAUUGGAAAAUAGUCAGUUCUCCAUGUAAAGCGAAUGCAGGAAACAAAUAUAUUUGUACAGUUACAGAUGAAACAAAUUAUGAAAUUAUAAGCCUAAAACUAGUAUUUCGUAUGUGUAUUAUAUGUGAAUUUACCGAUAAUACAUACAAAUAUCAGAUUGUUUCCAUCUUAAAUAUACAAGGAGCGUUCCAAAGCAAACAGAACAAAAUCUAAAAAAAAUUAUUUUAUUAAAAAUAGUCUCCUUCUGCUUCAACUUUUUUGCACGGUCCAAAAGCAUGUCGAACGAAUAUUUUAGCUCGUUGGCCGGUAUGCCCGCCAGUAUGCCGGUGCAAGCCUUUUGAAUGGCCUCUACGUCUGCAUAACGCUUUCCUUUCAUGGGAGUUAACACCCAGCCAUACACGUAUGACUCAUAUUACCUACCACUACUAGUGAUGAGCGAUAUUUCACUACCGGUGAUUUUUUCACUGUGAUUGAAAAAUCGCAAAUCGCAACUGCGAUCACUUUUUAUAAAUAGCAGUUCGCUUCUAUGAACUGCGAUUGCGAUCGCAGUUCGAAACUGUGAUCGCAGUUCGAACCAGUGAUUGCGAUCGCAGUUCGAAACUGUGAUCGCAGUUCGAACCAGUGAAUUGUGAUCGCAAUUCGAACCAGUGAUUGCGAUCGCAGUUCGAAACUGUGAUCGCAGUUCGAACCUGUGAAUUACGAUCACAAUAGCAAAUAGCAGAAAAGUAACAACUUUCUUCAGGGUAUUGUAUAUAUCGUAUAUGCUAUUUUUCGUCAUAGCGGUUUGAAGUUUUGAGUGUAACGUUCUUAUAUAAAGCAUUUUGUGAUGAAAACAAGAAUUGUAACUAAUUAAUUUCAGAAAAAAUGAUGGAAUAAAAAAAUUACGGGUUUUUAAUAUUUUCCCAAAGAUUAGGAAACUCGCGUUAAUUAUUUGGUCUUGAAAAUAUUAAAAGCGGGUAUUCUAAACAAACAAAUUAUCAACCACACUAAUGGUAAUUCCUUCUAAGAAAUGUGUGAAACCAUCAUACCAACAUACAAAUGAACUAUGCAAUACGCUCUAAGUGUCAGGUAGCCGAACCGCUCCAAUAUUUGCGAAAAUGUAGUGAAAGAAAAGGCGGAAAACCUACGUAAGUGGUAAGUGGAACAGACCCGGACUUUUAUUCGGCCAAACAGUGUCAAAUUGGCAGAAUCUGCCGCUACAACAACAACAACGACGUUUGAACGUCGACUUAGUUGCGAUCGCAAUAGCAAUAUAAAAUCACAGUGAUUUAAAAAUAGCAAUCACUGAAAUCACAGUGAUUUAAAAAUCGCAAUAUCGCUCAUCUCUAACCACUACACAUA
This is a long non-coding RNA of Bactrocera dorsalis (oriental fruit fly), 8417 nucleotides long. RefSeq lists it as uncharacterized. The transcript has 2 exons. The record is from RefSeq and is a predicted model, not a curated record. NCBI's taxonomy places the organism in Eukaryota, Metazoa, Arthropoda, Insecta, Diptera, Tephritidae.